CCAGUGCUCUGAUUGUCAUUGCCAAGAGAUUGAGCCAAGCGCGGGUAAACGGCGGGAGUAACUAUGACUCUCUUAAGGUAGCCAAAUGCCUCGUCAACCAAUUAUUGACGCGCAUGAAUGGAUCAACGAGAUUCCUGCUGUCCCUAGUUGCUGUCUGGCGAACCAACAGCCAAGGGAACGGGCUUGGGUGCGCCAGCGGGGAAAGAAGACCCUGUUGAGUUUGACUCUAGUUUGAUGCUGUGCAACGACAUGGGGGGUGUAGCACAGGUGGGAGGCCAGUGCCACCACCUUGCUGCCGGUACCCCUCUUUCCUCCCAGAGAGGAGAGGGAGCCAAAGGCCGAAGGAGUGUGGUCCCCCCCUCCGGGGAAGGGCCUCCCCUGUCUGGAGAGAGAUGAAGGCCGGCACAGAGAUGCCAUGAGAGUGUGUGGUGCAAACCAGCAGUGAAAUACCACUACCUUCACCGUCGUUUUACUCAACGGGUGGCUUGGGAACGGCGGCCAUUGGACAUCGGUUCCUGCUUCCUUGCUGGGACCGUGGCCACAUACCGGUUCGUGUGCCAAGCAUGGCCAGCCCCCACCCUCGGGUGGGUAGGAGGCUGUGUGACCCUUGGGGUCUGAACGCCCCACUGCACUCCCAGAGCCCCGUGACACUGAUCAGUUGGGGAGUUUGGCUGGGGCGGCACGCCCGUUACACCACAACGCGGGCGUCCUGAAGCAUUGCUCAGAUGGAAGGGAAAUCUUGCAUGGAGGAGCAGGCCAAAGGUGCUGCUGAUGCUGUGGCUUCCAGUACAAGCCCAAAACGUGCAAGUGUGGCCUUACGAUCCUUUGGUGAACCCUCCGGGUUCGGGAUAUUGAAGCCAGAGGUGUCAGAAAAAUUACCACAGGGAUAACUGGCUUGUGGCUGCCAAGCGUUCAAAGCGACGUCGCUUUUUGAUCCUUCGAUGUCGGCUCUUCCUAGCUUCCCACCCGCAGCC
This 974-nucleotide ribosomal RNA is filed under the name Flexiglena variabilis. RNAcentral describes it as "partial large subunit ribosomal RNA". It matches the Rfam family "Eukaryotic large subunit ribosomal RNA", at positions 2202 to 2912 of the family's 3401-position model. Lineage: Eukaryota; Euglenozoa; Euglenophyceae; Euglenales; Phacaceae. The record is from RNAcentral.